UACGAAGGGUGCGAGCGUUAUUCGGAGUAACUGGGCGUAAAGAGCGCGUAGGCGGCAUGUUAAGUUAGCUGUUAAAUAUCCCGGCCUAACCGGGAAAAAGCAGCUGAAACUGGCAAGCUAGAGGACAAGAGAGAGAAGUGGAAUUCUCGGAGUAGCGGUAAAAUGCGUAGAUCUCGAGAGGAACACCGGUUGCGAAGGCGGCUUCUUGGCUUGUAACUGACGCUAAAGCGCGAAAGCGUGGGGAGCAAACAGG
RNAcentral lists this ribosomal RNA (253 nucleotides) under uncultured bacterium. RNAcentral describes it as "partial 16S ribosomal RNA". It matches the Rfam family "Bacterial small subunit ribosomal RNA", at positions 524 to 776 of the family's 1533-position model. The record is from RNAcentral.